AGGGAAUCCCCAGAGGAGACCCCAACUCAGCCCCAGGUGAGACCCUGGGACAAGACAAGGUGGGGGACCAGAGCCUGAGCCCAGGCAGGGAUGGAUUUGGGGACUCCCCAGUGACGUUUUGGCCACCAGCAGGCACGCUCGUGCCAGCCCCCAGCCCUGGGUCCUGCACUGAAAGCGAGUCCUGAGCAAAGUUUCUAAGCCUCCAACUACCAGAAAAAGCCUGAAAAAACGACCGCAGAGGACCAUCUGCCUAGCUCUGCUGCCAGCCUGGAGACUGGCCCCCUCCGUCAGCCAACGCCACACGUCUGUGUUGAGAGUAGAGCCGGGAAAAAGCACCAACACAACUCAGAAGCACUACUGAUUUACCAGCGUGGCAGUGGAAGGUUUGGAGCCAGAAGGGAUUUCUGAAGGUGAUGUGUUUUGCCUAAGUCCCUUGCUGCAAAAUUUUGGACGCGCUUUGAGCAAGUGGUGCCCCUCCUGAGAUGAGUCUCCCAGGGAUGCUGAAAAUCACAAAAACCAAUGCAUUAACUCGGAGAAGAGGACCAGAAUGAAAGUCCAGAGACGCUGCCCACCCUGGACCUGAAAUGUCGCUUGAGUAACAGUGGUGGCAUUGCUGUAAAAUACAGAAAAAAACCCUCCUCUCCAAAAUGGCUGCAAAGAGUACAUCUCUGCAGUCCCUUCUUAAACACUGAAGCAUCCAUCGGGACCUUUGCCUCAGCCCAGGUCACUUCAGCAUCAUCCUGAAGGUGUGACUGGAAUUAUCUGCAGACCUUCAGAGACCGAAACAGCUCAUGGAGUUGUGUCUAUAGGAUUCACUCGCUCUUGCCUCUCCCAGCAUCAGGAUUCACUCUUUUAAAGCUUAGAUGAAAUAAUGUCACCAAGAAAGCACGGAAACAGUGGGAGCAAUGUGGCAGUGGCUGCCCGCCCAGCUGGGAGCUGCAAAGCAGCUGGCGUAACUACCCUGUGCUUCUUUGGGGGAUGUGAUGGAAGAGCAACACGACCCAUUUGAUCAGUGGUUGGAUUCUGGAGCUAAUUAUUUGACCUGCAACAUAACGACCUUAAUUGUGAAAGUGAGGUGAGUGGUUUGGGAGACGGCAUCUCUGCCCACGUACAAAAUGAUCUGGUGCGAAGGCUCCACCUCGGCAGCCUGUGGGACUAAUUUGGCACCUGAUUUGUCUAUAUUGUUAAAUCUCCCUACUGUUUUGGCAAGGAGAGGUUCAAAAUUGAUGCCUUUCAGAAUCAGCCUCAUUUGUUCACCAUGCACUGCAAUUAUUCCAGCCUGUAACCGAUGAGGUUUAAUCAGUAAUAAGAGCUUCAGACCUUACAGCGGCCCGUUCACCCUGUGUUGUUUGAGCAACAUUUCUGAAUGUUUUGGUGAGCAACUUCUCCCAUGGACUGGUUUUGAGAUAGAAGUGUGAAAGAUUUCUUACAAUGUCUGAAAUGGAAAAACAGUUACAUUCUGUACCUUUGCAAAAAUAUUUCUGAGGACACAUAAUAUAUUUUGCCAGGAUAACGUCCCCAUUCUAGGAGUCAUUCUUUCUUCUCAACAUUUGUUGCUUUUCUGUGUAAGAUGCACAGGGAAAUACUGGAAAAUGGGUAGGGAAAAUAGAAUUAACCCUGUGUUUUUCCCAAAAUUGCCCUUUGUGUCGCUUUAUUUUUAUUUUUUUCUAGCUUUUAUGAAGCCAUUAUUAAUCUAGUCAGCCAAGGUCAGGCGAGACUUUUUUCUGCUUUGCAGAUCCCGAAGCUUAUAAAGCUUCAAUCUACCCUGCCAUAACCAAAUGUUUAGUACCCACUGGCUGGGUUAAUUAGAGUGCAUUCUUUACAGCUCCAAUAAUAAUCACUACUACAGCAUCAUAGCAGUGGCUGAAGACUAUUUUUCCUUUUGUUAUUUCUUUUUAACAGUAAGCAUUUACAUAGUCACACUGUCUAAACCACUGGUUCUUUUGGGUUCAGCCAAGGGUUCACAUGCUUAUACCUGGAAAUACCAGGUUCCAGAAGGUAAGAGCAUCGCCUGCUCUCGUGAUCUCAAUGCAGCACAGCAUCCUGAGUAUGCCUCAAAAGGGGGUGACUUUGUGUUUUUUUAAGAGGAGGAGACAAUAUUCAUAGGGGGUGGGAAAGAUGAGAUUAAAGACCGAAGAUCACUGAAUGUCUGGCACUGAUUUAGAAACAGGCUUUGCCAAGCAGGGUGAGAAGGAGCCUUCCCUGAUCCAUCCAGUGUAUGGCUCUUAGUAUUGGUAACAGGGCUUUGGCUCCUAAAACAAAGAGUAGGGAAUGAAUUAGGAAACAAAUACAUUUCUGUAAACAAAGUUUUCA
Long non-coding RNA from Falco peregrinus (peregrine falcon), 2313 nucleotides. RefSeq lists it as uncharacterized. The transcript has 5 exons. The record is from RefSeq and is a predicted model, not a curated record. Lineage: Eukaryota; Metazoa; Chordata; Aves; Falconiformes; Falconidae.